AUGGGUUACCUGACUGGUUGGGAAGGGAAAGAGCUGCCGUGUUGUCCGCCGUGGCUCCCAGUCGCUAUAGUUAGCCUACUAUGCCUACUCCAAGUAGUCCUAUGUCAUGCCGCUGCUACACGCCUCACAACAAAUGAACUGCAAGCGUGUUCACGUGACACGGUGACAGUGAAAAAGCGACAGGGUUCGGGUGUCUUUGAAGAAGGGGCACAAAUCAAGCCAUUAUUUUCACACCUUUUUAAAUCGCGCAGCUUUAAAAAAAAAAAAAAAAUCACGUCUUUCAAAAGGGCACUUUUUUGGACUGAGGGCAAAAGGGCAAGUGCUUCAGCACCACCUCGUCUCUAUCUGUGCACGCCAGUGCUGGAGAGGGUCCGUUUCAACCUGAGAUGCAGACAAAGCAGAGUUGUUCCCAAGAGCCUGCGCCUUGGAUCCACUGUCAGGGGACACAGAGCGGACUUGAUUCUACAGAGAGCACAAAAUCAGCUUCUAAGUGAAAGGAUAAGACAGGUCCAUUUCACUAUAGAUGCCCUCCAGAGCAAGAUUAGCCAGACGCUGCAGGAACUGGAAACCCUUCUACCCUCUCCUAUUCUAGAAGAGGUUUACAAGUUUGUGGACAACGCUCAGCGGGCCCAACACUCUAAAGGAAAAGAAAGACAACGCAGGAAAUUUCACACCUUACUUUUGAAAACCCACACCCCUCAGUCUGAAUCUACACAACUCAGCGAAGAACACACACCUGAGGACAGUCAGGAAAAAUGGGUGAAGAACUUUUCAGACCGGAAUCUCACUGAACCUGAAAAGAGGGUUUUAGCCAAAGGACUCAAUUUUGCCAUUUCUCCGCAACAGUUGCCCAUAGUGGACCUCAUCACAGCCACAGAAACUGCCAUACGGAUUAACAAAUUAUCACAGACAGAAGCAGAACAGAUCAGGAUGAAAGUCUCAGCCACCCUCUCCAGUGCCAAAGUCCCUCCGUCUAACCUCACAUUACAAGAAAAGAAGGCCGUCGCUUCCCUGAGUAAAGACCACAACAUCACUAUAUUACCAGCAGAUAAGGGAAGGUGCACCGUGGUCCUAAACACAACAAAUUACCACACAAAGAUCACUACUCUCCUCAGUGACAACAAUACCUAUGAAGCCUUAAAGCGAGACCCCACAAGCAGCUACAAAAAGAAAGUUAUAGCUUGCCUUCAAGACCUUGAAAGGGACAAAGUCAUUGACCGCCUCACAUAUCACCGCCUUUACCCAGGGGAUGCCAUACCCUGCAUUUACGGACUUCCUAAGAUCCACAAGGAAGGUGUCCCACUCAGACCCAUUGUCAGUAGCAUAAACUCAGCCACUUACAACAUCUCUAAACACCUUGCAACCGUCCUAGGACCUCUUGUGGGGAACACCCCACAUCACAUCAAGAACUCCAACGACUUCACAGACAAGGUCCAGAAACUUACCCUGGAUCCAGAUGAAACCAUGGUGUCCUUUGAUGUAGUCUCACUCUUCACUUGCAUACCCACUAUGGAGGCAGUGGAGAUUGUCAGAAAACGACUACAAGAAGACAGAUCCUUGGAAGACAGGACCAACUUCACACCCCAUCAGAUUUGCACACUGUUAGACCUCUGCCUCACCACUACAUAUUUCAAACACAACGAGGGUUUCUACAGACAAAAACAUGGCUGCGCCAUGGCCUCCCCCGUGUCACCUAUUGUAGCCAACCUUUACAUGGAGGAAGUGGAAAGAAAGGCUCUUGGCUCUUUUAAAGGGAGAGUACCCAGCCACUGGUACAGAUAUGUAGACGACACCUGGGUCAAAAUCAAAAGACAAGAAGUGGAAUCCUUCACUGCGCACAUUAACGCCGUGGAUAAAAACAUCAAGUUCACCAGGGAAGACACAAAGGACAACUGUUUGCCUUUUCUGGACUGCGCCAUGCACAUUGAAGAGAAUGGCAACCUCACCAUUGAAGUUUACCGGAAGCCCACACACACGGACCAGUACCUCCUCUUUGACUCCCAUCACCCUCUGGAACACAAACUUGGAGUAAUCAGGACCCUACACCACCGGGCAGAACUUGUUCCCUCUAAGCCUGAAGGGAAAAAGAAGGAACGCACACAUGUAAACAUACACAUGUAUGCAGCAACAGUGGAAAAUAUUAUGCGGUUAGUCAUGAGUUUUAGACAUGGCAGUAUACAUGUUACAAAAACACAAAAUAAAAGUAAGCAAUAG
RNAcentral lists this long non-coding RNA (2214 nucleotides) under Oreochromis niloticus (Nile tilapia). RNAcentral describes it as "lncRNA (ENSONIG00000035421.1)". The record is from RNAcentral. Lineage: Eukaryota; Metazoa; Chordata; Actinopteri; Cichliformes; Cichlidae.